ACAGACUCUCCUUUUCUUUCUCCAUAUGAUUUGCUAUGAAGUCCAUUCUCAUGAGAAACAUCAACCGGGCUGUAGGAAUCAAUUCCCUGAACCAUCACUGCCUGAUUAGUUGGCUGAAAGGGAGCAAAAGAAGAAAUACCACAACAUGAUUGAAUGCUGGCAGUAAUAAUCCACAAGGAAGUUAGAGAAAAUUAUGCAAGAAAAAGAGUUCCAUCUGAGGAACCAGAGGAAGAGAUGGAAGAUGGGCUCUAGCCAUUGUAGGGAAGAUACAAUUGUCCUCCAUUGUGACAAAAGAGACUGUGGAGCCUUGCAGAGAUAAAGGUGUAUGCAUUAACUUACACAAUCAUAUGAAGCACAUGAUCAUAAUAUAAUGUUGAGAUAAAGGAACAAACCACUUAUGACCGUGUACACUGCAGUAACUGUUUAUCUUCAAAAGCUCCCUGCACAAGUAAAAAGUUAAAUGAAAAUGGCAUGAACAUGUGUUAAAAAUUAUUUGGAGACCCUCCCUGGUGGUGCAAUG
Long non-coding RNA from Condylura cristata (star-nosed mole), 520 nucleotides. RefSeq lists it as uncharacterized. NCBI's taxonomy places the organism in Eukaryota, Metazoa, Chordata, Mammalia, Eulipotyphla, Talpidae. The transcript has 4 exons. The record is from RefSeq and is a predicted model, not a curated record.